CCUACGGGAGGCUGCAGUGGGGAAUAUUGGACAAUGGGGGCAACCCUGAUCCAGCCAUGCCGCGUGUGUGAAGAAGGCCUUUUGGUUGUAAAGCACUUUAAGCAGUGAAGAAGACUCCAUGGUUAAUACCCAUGGACGAUGACAUUAGCUGCAGAAUAAGCACCGGCUAACUCUGUGCCAGCAGCCGCGGUAAUACAGAGGGUGCAAGCGUUAAUCGGAAUUACUGGGCGUAAAGCGAGCGUAGGUGGCUUGAUAAGUCAGAUGUGAAAUCCCCGGGCUUAACCUGGGAACUGCAUCUGAUACUGUUAGGCUAGAAUAGGUGAGAGGAAGGUAGAAUUCCAGGUGUAGCGGUGAAAUGCGUAGAGAUCUGGAGGAAUACCGAUGGCGAAGGCAGCCUUCUGGCAUCAUAUUGACACUGAGGUUCGAAAGCGUGGGUAGCAAACAGGAUUAGAUACCCCAGUAGUC
This 465-nucleotide ribosomal RNA is filed under the name uncultured Psychrobacter sp. RNAcentral describes it as "bacterial SSU rRNA". It matches the Rfam family "Bacterial small subunit ribosomal RNA", at positions 338 to 795 of the family's 1533-position model. Lineage: Bacteria; Pseudomonadati; Pseudomonadota; Gammaproteobacteria; Moraxellales; Moraxellaceae. The record is from RNAcentral.